This 1235-nucleotide small RNA is filed under the name Pongo abelii (Sumatran orangutan). RNAcentral's name for it is "unitary pseudogene". Lineage: Eukaryota; Metazoa; Chordata; Mammalia; Primates; Hominidae. The record is from RNAcentral.
GAAGUGGUUAGUUUCAUAACCCCAAGUUGCAAACUGGACCCUCCACUUGCACCCAGACUCAUUAACAGAUCCAAGAGCAGCCCGAAUUUACAGUGGAAAAAUGAUAAUCGUCCCAAAAUAAACAGCUUCCUUUUGGAAUUGGAUGAAAAAGGCAAAGGUGAAGACUUCGAAAGUUGCUAUGUGAGUACCAUGAAACAGCACAAGAUCCUUGAACUGAGUAUUUCUACAAAAUACUCAUUCAGAUUAGCUACCAAAAACAACUUUGGCUUGAAGUAUAUUUAAAUAUUUACAAUAUUUGUCUAUACUUCAAUAAGAAUCUGAGACUAAUUUUCCAUCUUAAUCUAUUUUUCAGUGAUUUCAGUCAAAUAGCAGUCUUCCAUACAUCAGGAACUAUGCCUCCAACACCUCCCCUCCUAAGCUAAAAGAAGCAGGAAUCUGUUAUUUGUCACUAGACUGGUGUGCCCCAACAGAAACCCAAAUGACACUCCUACUUAUGUACUAGAAAUGGAGGAAGCAGGAUCUGGUUUAGAUUUUAAGCCGAAAUACAAUGGAGAAGAGUUCUCAUGCACUAUAAGAAGUCUUCAGAGAAGUACUACAUACAAGUUUAAACAGAUCUUUGCCUGCAAUAUGGAAGGAAGAAGCAACCCCAGUGGAAAAGUAAAAUAUACAACCUGUCCAGAUAAAACCGGAUGCCCUAGAAAACCAUAUAUAAAGGGAAAGGUCCAUGCACACAGUGUAAAAAUUGGAUGGGAACCAUCCAAAGAUAAUGGUGGAAGAUACAUUCCAAGUUACAGUUUAGAAGUUAGUGAAAAUUCAGAUGGUUUUACAGUGGCAACAAAAGGGAAUUUCUAUAUAAUCACCUGCAACCUGGUACUGCAUAGAAACUGAGAGUCUUUCACAUCUCACUUAUAGGCCAGACAUCAGAUAUAUUGACUAUUCAAACACCUACUCUUUCUCCUGCAUCUUGCUGUCCUCCACCCUUGAAUGGUAAGACAAAGUCCAGAGAAACCAGUCUCCAAUGUGGUACACCUGUACUAGCCUGAAAGGGUCCAAAGUGUGUUGUUGUUAGUUGGGGAGUAUUUCAGAUUCCUGUGUGCAAUGGUGCUGAAAUCACUGAUUACAGGCUAGAGUGGGGACAAAUUGAAAAAUCAGUGCACUUGAUUUACACACGCCCUUGCUUGAGCUAUGAAGUUAAAGGUCUCAUUCCUGCAACUACAUAUUUUUGCAGAGUCCAG